This 368-nucleotide ribosomal RNA is filed under the name uncultured organism. RNAcentral describes it as "bacterial SSU rRNA". It matches the Rfam family "Bacterial small subunit ribosomal RNA", at positions 526 to 896 of the family's 1533-position model. The record is from RNAcentral.
CGAAGGAUGCAAGCGUUAUCCGGAUUAUUGGGUUUAAAGGGAGCGUAGGCGGUCUUAUGAGUCAGUGGUGAAAUCUCGUUGCUUAACAACGACCGUGCCAUUGAUACUGUAGGACUUGAGUACAGUUGCCGUUGGCGGAAUGUGUCAUGUAGCGGUGAAAUAGCAUAGAUAUGACACAGAACACCGAUUGCGAAGGCAGCUGACGAAACUGUAACUGACGCUGAGGCUCGAAAGCGUGGGGAUCAAACAGGAUUAGAUACCCUGGUAGUCCACGCCCUAAACUAUGAUUACUCGCUGUCGGCGAUAUACAGUCGGUAGCUAAGCGAAAGCGUUAAGUAAUCCACCUGGGGAGUACGCCCGCAAGGGUG